AAAAAACGACACAUAAA
This 17-nucleotide small RNA is filed under the name Arabidopsis thaliana (thale cress). Its description in RNAcentral is "ATSL021220". Lineage: Eukaryota; Viridiplantae; Streptophyta; Magnoliopsida; Brassicales; Brassicaceae. The record is from RNAcentral.